Molecule: ribosomal RNA, 1554 nt
Filed under: Escherichia coli
Lineage: Bacteria; Pseudomonadati; Pseudomonadota; Gammaproteobacteria; Enterobacterales; Enterobacteriaceae
Description: bacterial SSU rRNA
Rfam family: Bacterial small subunit ribosomal RNA
Source: RNAcentral
AAAUUGAAGAGUUUGAUCAUGGCUCAGAUUGAACGCUGGCGGCAGGCCUAACACAUGCAAGUCGAACGGUAACAGGAAGAAGCUUGCUUCUUUGCUGACGAGUGGCGGACGGGUGAGUAAUGUCUGGGAAACUGCCUGAUGGAGGGGGAUAACUACUGGAAACGGUAGCUAAUACCGCAUAACGUCGCAAGACCAAAGAGGGGGACCUUCUGGCCUCUUGCCAUCGGAUGUGCCCAGAUGGGAUUAGCUAGUAGGUGGGGUAACGGCUCACCUAGGCGACGAUCCCUAGCUGGUCUGAGAGGAUGACCAGCCACACUGGAACUGAGACACGGUCCAGACUCCUACGGGAGGCAGCAGUGGGGAAUAUUGCACAAUGGGCGCAAGCCUGAUGCAGCCAUGCCGCGUGUAUGAAGAAGGCCUUCGGGUUGUAAAGUACUUUCAGCGGGGAGGAAGGGAGUAAAGUUAAUACCUUUGCUCAUUGACGUUACCCGCAGAAGAAGCACCGGCUAACUCCGUGCCAGCAGCCGCGGUAAUACGGAGGGUGCAAGCGUUAAUCGGAAUUACUGGGCGUAAAGCGCACGCAGGCGGUUUGUUAAGUCAGAUGUGAAAUCCCCGGGCUCAACCUGGGAACUGCAUCUGAUACUGGCAAGCUUGAGUCUCGUAGAGGGGGGUAGAAUUCCAGGUGUAGCGGUGAAAUGCGUAGAGAUCUGGAGGAAUACCGGUGGCGAAGGCGGCCCCCUGGACGAAGACUGACGCUCAGGUGCGAAAGCGUGGGGAGCAAACAGGAUUAGAUACCCUGGUAGUCCACGCCGUAAACGAUGUCGACUUGGAGGUUGUGCCCUUGAGGCGUGGCUUCCGGAGCUAACGCGUUAAGUCGACCGCCUGGGGAGUACGGCCGCAAGGUUAAAACUCAAAUGAAUUGACGGGGGCCCGCACAAGCGGUGGAGCAUGUGGUUUAAUUCGAUGCAACGCGAAGAACCUUACCUGGUCUUGACAUCCACAGAACUUUCCAGAGAUGGAUUGGUGCCUUCGGGAACUGUGAGACAGGUGCUGCAUGGCUGUCGUCAGCUCGUGUUGUGAAAUGUUGGGUUAAGUCCCGCAACGAGCGCAACCCUUAUCCUUUGUUGCCAGCGGUCCGGCCGGGAACUCAAAGGAGACUGCCAGUGAUAAACUGGAGGAAGGUGGGGAUGACGUCAAGUCAUCAUGGCCCUUACGACCAGGGCUACACACGUGCUACAAUGGCGCAUACAAAGAGAAGCGACCUCGCGAGAGCAAGCGGACCUCAUAAAGUGCGUCGUAGUCCGGAUUGGAGUCUGCAACUCGACUCCAUGAAGUCGGAAUCGCUAGUAAUCGUGGAUCAGAAUGCCACGGUGAAUACGUUCCCGGGCCUUGUACACACCGCCCGUCACACCAUGGGAGUGGGUUGCAAAAGAAGUAGGUAGCUUAACCUUCGGGAGGGCGCUUACCACUUUGUGAUUCAUGACUGGGGUGAAGUCGUAACAAGGUAACCGUAGGGGAACCUGCGGUUGGAUCACCUCCUUACCUUAAAGAAGC